CCCUGGUAGUCCACGCCCUAAACGAUGUCAACUAACUGUUCGGAGUCACUAAGAUUCUGAGUAGUGAAGCUAACGCGAUAAGUUGACCGCCUGGGGAGUACGGCCGCAAGGUUGAAACUCAAAGAAAUUGACGGGGGCCCGCACAAGCGGUGGAGUAUGUGGUUUAAUUCGAUGCAACGCGAAGAACCUUACCCGGUCUUGACAUGGUAGGAAUCUUGUAGAGAUACGAGAGUGCCUUCGGGAACCUACACACAGGUGCUGCACGGCUGUCGUCAGCUCGUGUCGUGAGAUGUUGGGUUAAGUCCCGCAACGAGCGCAACCCUUGCCCUUAGUUACCAUCAUUUAGUUGGGGACUCUAAGGGGACUGCCGGUGAUAAACCGGAGGAAGGUGGGGACGACGUCAAGUCAUCAUGGCCCUUAUGACCGGGGCUACACACGUACUACAAUGGUCGGUACAGACGGUCGCAAGCUCGCGAGAGUAAGCUAAUCCGAGAAAACCGAUCGUAGUCCGGAUCGCAGUCUGCAACUCGACUGCGUGAAGUCGGAAUCGCUAGUAAUCGCAAAUCAGAAUGUUGCGGUGAAUACGUUCCCGGGCCUUGUACACACCGCCCGUCACACCAUGGGAGUUUGUUGCAAAAGAAGUAGGUAGCUUAACCGCAAGGAGGGCGCUUACCACUUUGUGGCCGAUGACUGGGGUGAAGUCGUAACAAGGUAGCCGUA
This 720-nucleotide ribosomal RNA is filed under the name uncultured bacterium. Its description in RNAcentral is "bacterial SSU rRNA". It matches the Rfam family "Bacterial small subunit ribosomal RNA", at positions 785 to 1504 of the family's 1533-position model. The record is from RNAcentral.